RNAcentral lists this small RNA (319 nucleotides) under Vigna angularis var. angularis. RNAcentral's name for it is "Non-protein coding transcript". Lineage: Eukaryota; Viridiplantae; Streptophyta; Magnoliopsida; Fabales; Fabaceae. The record is from RNAcentral.
UUGUAGAUUUUAUGUCUCUGUGGAAUAUUGGUGGCUUACAACCAUUUUGCAGAUACUCCAAUCCUGAGGCUGCAUCCACUGCUAUACGAAGUCUCUUUUCCCAGCUGAAGAAAUUUCUUUUGCUUCGUUUACCUGCGUAAUCAAGUUCUAUCACUUUUUGUACAUACUUUUGGUUCACUAAAUGUUAGUCAUAUGACUAGUAAAAUUGUCCAAUGAAGAAAUAUCCAUAUCCACGAAGUUUGGAAAUUUAUUGCUCAUAUUUUAAACAACAAAAUAUUUGUUUGGGUGCAAACCAGAGAGAUGUUCUUGUAAGUUUCCG